Molecule: ribosomal RNA, 468 nt
Filed under: uncultured bacterium
Lineage: Bacteria
Description: partial 16S ribosomal RNA
Rfam family: Bacterial small subunit ribosomal RNA
Source: RNAcentral
GACGAACGCUGGCGGCGUGCUUAACACAUGCAAGUCGAACGGAAAGGCCCUGCUUUUGUGGGGUGCUCGAGUGGCGAACGGGUGAGUAACACGUGAGUAACCUGCCCUUGACUUUGGGAUAACUUCAGGAAACUGGGGCUAAUACCGGAUAGGAGCUCCUGCUGCAUGGUGGGGGUUGGAAAGUUUCGGCGGUUGGGGAUGGACUCGCGGCUUAUCAGCUUGUUGGUGGGGUAGUGGCUUACCAAGGCUUUGACGGGUAGCCGGCCUGAGAGGGUGACCGGCCACCAUGGGACUGAGAUACGGCGCAGUCGCCUACGGGGGGCAGCGGGCGGGAAUAUUGCACAAUGGGCGGAAGCGUGAUGCAGCAACGCCGCGUGCGGGAUGACGGCCUUCGGGUUGUGAACCGCUUUCGCCUGUGACGAGGCGUGAGUGACGGUAAUGGGUGAAGAAGCACCGGCUAACUACGUG